UGACUUUGUACGGAACAUUUCUUCUUCAUGCAUGGAGGGAUUUUGAUGUAACUUGGACCAAAUGUUCACCACCAUGAGGCACCCUUGUUUUUAGAAUUACGUCCCUUUGUUGUUACUAUAAAUAGAUUUUAUUGUAACUUUUUUAUUACUGGCGGUAGAGAAAAAUCGAGACCACUUUUCUGUGGUACAGCAUGCAUGUUACAUCCAAUUUUUAGGUGUAUUUUGACCUAUCUCUACCUGGUAAAGAGUUUCUUGUGGACUUAUAUUAUAUAGAUUUUUUUUUUUUUUUUUUUUUUUUUUAAAGAUUAAUUUCCCUUAGUUGUUACUAUAAAUAACUUACAUGAUAACAUUUUUAUAAUCAGCCAAAAAAAUUCAAUAUGAAAACAACUAUAGGUUUUUAUACGCCCGUUUGAAAAACGGGACGUAUUAUGGGAACGCCCCUGGCGGGCGGAUGGGCGGUUGGGCGGGCGGGCGGGCGGGCGGGCGGCGUCCACAGACCUUGUCCGGAGCAUAUCUUCUACAUGCAUGGAGGGAUUUUGAUGAAACUUGGCACAGUUGUUCACCAUCAUGAGACGGAGUGUCAUGCGCAAGAACCAGGUCCCUAGGUCUAAGGUCAAGGUCACACUUAGAGGUCAAAGGUCAAAUUCAAGAAUGACUUUGUCCGGAGCAUAUCUUCUUCAUGUAUGGAGGGAUUUUGAUGAAAGUUGGCACAAUUGUUCAUCAUCAUGAGACGGAGUGUCAUGCGCAAAAACCAGGUCCCUAGGUCUAAGGUCAAGGUCACACUUAGAGGUCAAAGGAUACAAGAAUGAAAAAUUCAAGAAUGACUUUGUCCGGAGCAUAUCUUCUUCAUGCAUGGAAUGAUUUUGAUGUAGCUUGGCACAGUUGUUCACCAUAAUGAGAGGGAGUGUCGUGCGCAAGAACCAGGUUCCUAGGUCUAAGAUCAAGGUCACACUUAGAGGUCAAAGGAUACAAGAAUGAAAACUUUGUCCGGAGCAUAUCUUCUUCAUGCAUGAAAGGACUUUGAUGUAGCUUGGCAAAAUUGUUCACCAUCAUGAGACGGAGUGUCAUGCGCAAGAACCAGGUCCCUAGGGGUAAGGUCAAGGUCACACUUAGAGGUCAAAGGAUACAAGAAUGAAAACUUUGUCCGGAGCAUUUCUUCUUCAUGCAUUGAGGGAUUUUGAUACAACUUGGCACAAAUGUUCACAGCAUGAGACGGAGUGUCAUGCGCAAGAACCAGGUCCCUCGGUCUAAGGUCAAGGUCACACUUAAAGGUCAAAGGUCAGAUACAAGAAUGACUUUGUCUGGAGCAUUUCUUCUUCAUGCAUGUAGGGAUUUUGAUGCAACUUGGCACAAUUGUACACCAUCAUGAGACGGAGUGUCAUGCACUGGUCCCUUCUUUAAAAUUACUUCCCUUUGCUGUUACUAUAAAUAGCUUAUAUUGUAACUUUUUUCAUUACAAGUCGUAGGGAAAAAUCGAGACACUUUUCUGUAGUACAACAUGCAUGUUACAUCCAAUUCUGAGGUGUAUUUUGAGCUAUCUCUACCUGGUAAGGAUUUUUGUGUGGACUUGUAAUUUUUUUUUUUCGAUUUUUUUUUUUUUUUUUUUUUUUUCUCUUUAAAGAUUAACUUCCCUUAGUUGUUACUAUAAAUAACUUACGUUGUAACUUUUUUAUAAUUGACCGUAGGGAAAAACCAAGACCACUUUUCUGUGGUACAACAUUGAUAUUACUUUCAAAUUUUGGGUGUAUUUUAAGGUAUCUCUACCUGGUAAGGAUUUUUUUUGUGGACUUAGAAAAAUAAAAGAAUUACAAUAAUUUCUAAAAAAAACAACAUUGUAAACAACUAGAAAAUUAAAAUUCCAUUUGCAAAUACAGGUGCUAGUGUAAACAAAUUUGCUGUGACGGGCGUAUAUUGUGACAUUCUGCACCCUUGUUAUAUAUAUAAAUUUUAAUCCAAGUGUUUUGUUAUAGCAUAUUGUAUAUAUAGUACAAUAUUGUUUAUACAACAUUGACAGAUAUCAGUUCAUUAUGUUAUACUGCAGUAGAGAAAAUUAGGUGCCUUCCAGUAGGGGACUUUGUAUUGCAUGGCAAUACUUCAUUCACUUGUUAAUUUUAUCCUGAACUCUGACUCAUAUAAAAUGUAAUUUUGUUAUCUUUCAUUGUCUUUUUCUUUACAUUAACUGUUGUUUGAAUUUUAACCAUCAGGGCCCGGUUGUUCGAAACUUUAACCGACUGUUAAACUAACCAUCGGUUAAAUUUUGAUUUAAAAUGAUACAUGUGAUAAGUUCAGAAUCCCAAAACUGGAGGUUUGCCAUUUUUCAACUGGAGUUGGGGUCUCAAAACUGGAGGUUUUUUAUCGACAUAAAUUAAGCAAGCGGACACAAAACUUAGAGACAAAAUCCAACAUUCUAGGCCACACAAUAACGCAUAAGUCUACACCAGAAGAAACAAUCUCAUAACUCUUGAUUUGAAUUUUGACAUAGUUAUGCCACUUUUUAACUUAAAUUUUUUGGUUAAAGUUUUAUAUAAUGUCCAAUAUCUCUGUUACAUUCAAAGCUAUUGACUAUUAUGCCCCUUUUACUGGCAAAGCUUUAAUUCAGAGUCAAUCACUGAGAAAAGUCGAGCAUGCUGUCUUACAGAAGCUCCCUCUUGUUCCAACUUUAAACUUUCUUAACAGAUUAAAUUGUAGAAACAAAGUCUCAAUUUAGGUCUGAAAUGGUGGUGAACAUGCAUUAACAAUAUACUACUCGAGGACUGGAAAAAAAAAAGAGAAGCUCUAAAUUGGUCUGAACACAACUCAUAAAUUAUGUAAAUUCCUAACCCCACCCACUUUCGUAUAAAAAUACUGAUCACUAAUGAUUUUGACAUGAAAAACAGAAAACAGAAAUGCAUCAACAUGUAUUUACCCUUACCAAAAUAAUGUAGAUUGAUGUUAUCAAAUAAAUGAGUGUGUGUUUUCAUCCAAUUUUCAAUGAAAUAAGUCGUAUUUUAGUAGCAAAUUAAUUUGGUAAACAUUGCCAUUGGAAGAAAAAGGCAUAACUGCAUAAGGGGAAAUAACAUUCAUGUUCUAAAAAUAGUAAUGGGUUGAUUUUUCCAACAAUUAUUUAUGUGAUUUUAUUACUGAACAAAACUUUUCUUUGAAUAAUCAAAAAUUCAUUUCAGCUGGGAAUUAUUUCUUAUGACUGGGAUUUUUUUGCUUCAAAUUGGUAAAAAAUGGAGCCUAAUUGGCAUUGAGAAUGGGCAGAUAUUCGGCCCUGUGAGACAGUGGAAAAGGCCCUGCUUGUCUAAUCCCUUAUCAAAACAAACAAUCAUGUUCUCAAAAUUCACCUGUGAAAAACAACUCUUUCCUUCAGCUACACGUGUGUCAAACAUGUAUAAUACACAACAGUCGGUGACACUUGACAAAGGAGGCAAUGAGGUCUAAGCCAGUCAGCGCUGGCCUACCAAAAGCGUGGUUCGGCUGGAAAAUGUAAACAAACCAAAGUUUCUUAGGGAAUUUAGGACUUUGUUGUCUCUGUCAGCUCUUAAAUAUAGUUUUUAAAUAAAAGAUAAGUUUUAAUAAAUAAUAUAGUUUAUAAUGGGGAAAGCAAAAUGCCUUGAUACACUAUAUGAGGUACAUAACAGAGGCGUGAUACAUAUAAAUGAUGACACACAAAUAAGACAGUCUAUUAUUCUUCUUCUAACUGUAGUUUUUAAAGUAAAUGUAUGGGAUUAAGUUCCCAUCUUAUUCACAGCCCACUGGCGGUUACUUUAACUUACUUUGGACUGUGAAUUAUGGUACACACUCUACAUGUAGCAUAUAAAGUGUAGUUAAUUAAUUGUAGCUAUGCUCGCCCAUAUGGUUUUAACCGGUGGCGAGGGUAAACAACCUCAACACACACACACACACACUUUGAUUUACUGUGUAAACAUGUUUGGCACUCCUCGAUAAUUAUCAACCCAGUCAUAAUACUGAUUUUCUUUUUUGAAAAGCGGGAGAAUUAUGGUUUUGGUCGGGAGACGGGAGGUAAGGUGAAAAAAUUGGGAUUUUGACCCUCCCGCGCGGGAGAUCACAUGUAUGUUCAAAAUACUAGACUUGGUGGGACACACUAGUAUGGUGUUUUGAUUUUAUUGUAAAGAUUUUCCAGUGUUCAAAAUUCUUACCUCAUACAUUUGUUUUUCAAAGUCUUCUGAAAUGCCGAAAAAUAACCCUAAAAGUUAAUCAACCGUUAGCUUAAUCGCCUGUUAAAGUUUCGAACAACUGGGCCCAGGUGUUUGGAAGUGAACUGAGCAUGAACAUGGAUGUAGCUCUUUCUAGAUGUUGACAGAGAUGAACUGAGAUCAAAAACAAAAAAGUUUUUGAAAGAUAUAAUUAUGAGUUUGUCCAAAACAGAGGAUAUUUUGCAAGUUUUUACUUGUUGCAAUGUCAUACAUUUCACCGAAGAUUUAAUAAAUAGCUGUUUAACAUUUGUGUUAUAAUUUAUAGUUUGUAGUUACAAACUUGCUAGGAACAGACCUUUUAAGUUGCUGAAAUUCCUUUUAUACAAGCUCAAAAAGGAAUAUUUUUAAAUCUUGAUUAGGUGUUACAACAGAAUGGCUUUGGUUUUGAAAUUCUUAACUCUUAUUAUAUAAGCUGAUUGGACUGCCAUGGCAAAAUGAUGUUGGUAGCUGGCUUACUUGCUUGUGAGCAGAGGAAUUAGAAGCAGCUGGUAUUUCUGGGUGAGCUAUUUGUAAGGAUGGGUACUCUGGCAUUAACAGUUUAUCAUAAAUGGCUUGUCGGAUGGACCAAAUUUUUGUUUGUGGCAUCCUGGGACCUCUUGUUUGUUUAGGUGGUUCCUUCACAGUGGUCCCUUCAGACUGCACACAGGCACCAGCAGCUCAGACUUUGAAAAACCUUUUUAACAAAGUCUUCUCAUGAACUCUUAAGAGUACUUCCCUUAUCUUAGUAGGAUCCUUUUAGGACCCCUUUCAAAUUCAUUAAUGGCUUUUGCUGUAACAAAUUUGGGGGCCGCAACAGAAAAAAAUGUUUUUCAAAAAGUGCAAGGCUCUGAGAUAAUAUAUUUUAUAUGAAGCUUAGCUAGCGUCCGACCAGUUUGUUAAAAUAUGAAAGCUUUAGUUAAAUCAUUGUAAAUGUAGUAAGUUUCUGACUCAUCCUUAACAUUUUGUAAAAUUUGAGACUGUCACAGGGCUAAAAAUAAAUGAAUGAGAAUACUUAAAUAUUUCAAACAUUUUAGCAAAAAAAUAUUUUGUGAAUCAUUACCUUACGGUCCUCUGCAUAGGUGAAUGACAUAAACCUAAAAGGGCAUCUUUAUUUUUUAUUAGGUUUCUUAAACUUGAUUAGAACCAUCAUUCUCACACAGACAUUUCUUACAUUUUUAUACGCCCGUUUGAAAAACGGGACGUAUUAUGGGAACGCCCCUGGCGGGCGGGCGGGCGUCGUCCACAGACUUUGUCCGGAGCAUAUCUUCUACAUGCAUGAAGGGAUUUUGAUGAAACUUGGCACAGUUGUUCACCAUCAUGAGACGGAGUGUCAUGCGCAAGAUCCAGGUCCCUAGGUCUAAGGUCAAGGUCACACUUAGAGGUCAAAGGUUAAAUUCAAGAAUGUCUUUGUCCGGAGCAUAUCUUCAUGCAUAGAGGGAUUUUGAUGAAAGUUGGCACAAUUGUUCAUCAUCAUGAGAAGGAGUGUCAUGCGCAAGAACCAGGUCCCUAGGUCUAAGGUCAAGGUCACACUUAGAGGCAAAGGUCAGAUACAAGAAUGACUUUGUCCGAAGCAUUUCUUCAUGCAUGGAGGGAUUUUGAUGUAACUUGACACAAUUAUACACCAUCAUGAGACGAAGUGUCAUGCGCAGUUCCCUUCUUUAGAAUUACUUCCCUUUGUUGUUACUAUAAAUAGCUUAUAUUGUAACUUUUUCAUUACUAGUCGUAGGGAAAAAUCAAGACCACUUUUCUGUAGUACAACAUGCAUGCUACAUCCAAUUUUGAGGUGUAUUUUGACCAGUCUCUACCUGGUAAAGAUUUUUAUGAGGACUUACAAUUUUUUUUUUUUUUUUUUUUUUUUUUUAAGAUUAACUUCCCUUAGUUGUUACUAUAAAUAACUUAUAUUGUAACUUUUUUAUAAUUGUCCGUAGGGAAAAACCAAGACCACUUUUCUGUGGUACAACAUAGAUGUUACUUUCCAAUUUUAGGUGUAUUUUAAGGUAUCUCUACCUGGUAAGGAGUUUUUUUGUGGACUUAGAAAAACAAAACACUUACAGUUAUUAUCCCCAAUUCCUGUAUCUUCGUGCCUUCCUAUAUCUUCGUGCCUCUGUCAUUUACAUGCGCUGCUAGUUCAUGCAAAACCUCUGACUUCACUAAAUUGUGUUAGCAUAAUAAGCACAUGGUAUUUCGUAAACAAAGAAGGCAAAAUGCAUAAAAAACAUGUAGUUUGCCUUUAAUUCACAUUAAUUAAAUAUCUUACAUUAAAAAUGUGUAGCUGCUUACAAAGAAACCAAGUACAAUGCAAUUAUUUUUAAAAUAUCCAAAUUUUCAUUUCCAAAACUUAUGACAGUUUCAUUCCAAGGUCAUUGCCAGUUCUCCUAACCUAAUUUCAUCGAAGGGGAAAAUUUCCAUGUUUGAAUGACAUAAGCGACCCAAAUAACACAAGUGGCACGAUGAUAUAGGAAAAUGGCACCCAUGACUUAGGUUACACACGUGGUGGAAACAUCUUGAGAUUUCACAAUGACUGUUUAGGAGAUCCAAACAAAACAGUUUGCAUGAUAAAGAUAAAAGGUUUAUCUUCAAUAUCAUAUAUACAUUUUUGAAUGUAUUUUGCCUAAUUUUGGGAUUUAAAUGGGGGAAUACGUAGGGGGCACGAAGAUACAGGAAAAGGGCAUACUAUACAACCACAAAAUUAAAAUUCCAUUUGCAAAUACAGGUGCUAGAGUAAAGAAAUUUGCUGUGACGGGCGUAUAUUGAGACAUUCUUGCACUCUUGUUAGAUUAAGAUGAGGACUUGGAGGGAUGCAUCAUGGUCCUCUUGACAUUUUGUUAUAGUUUUGCUUGACAGUAGAUUACCUAUAUACUCUUAUUUGUACCUAAUGAUAUUGUAAUCAAUGAACAGAGCUUGAUUGUGUUUUACCCUAUCAGUAUUUUAUUGAACAUACUGUGCAAAUAUUGUUAGAGAAUUUAUCAAUAAAUAAAAAGAAAAAAAUAUU
This is a long non-coding RNA of Mercenaria mercenaria, 7170 nucleotides long. RefSeq lists it as uncharacterized. The transcript has 2 exons. The record is from RefSeq and is a predicted model, not a curated record. NCBI's taxonomy places the organism in Eukaryota, Metazoa, Mollusca, Bivalvia, Venerida, Veneridae.